This 486-nucleotide long non-coding RNA is filed under the name Mustela putorius furo (domestic ferret). RNAcentral's name for it is "lncRNA (ENSMPUG00000025140.1)". Lineage: Eukaryota; Metazoa; Chordata; Mammalia; Carnivora; Mustelidae. The record is from RNAcentral.
GCUGCUGGAAUUAUGCUGCAUUUUACAGAUGAGAAAUCUAUAACUUAAACCAGUCAAAUAACAAGUCUGUGACCUUGCAAACUAGGUCUUGAAUCCACAGAAUAUAACCCCAGAGGCUAAAUCUUAACUAUAAUUUCUUACAAAGGUGUUAUCCAGGAAGAAUCAUCCAUACUCCACAAAAUGGUUAAUUGAAGAAUCACUCUACCUGAUAGCAAACAAAUCCUAUUCAGAGGCAAGUAAAAACAAAGUCUUCACCCGCGCCGACCGGUUUAGGCAACUGCACAUGUCUUCAGCUUGACACAGGAGUUUUAUCUAGUUUUGGACUUGUGUGUAUGGUGAGGAUACUUCUCCGUGAAGCCUGUCAUGACUCAGCUACCUGCACAUGAUUAAAAUCAAAGGGAGUUCGUCAGCUCCAGGUAAAUGUUGACUCUUCUGUCUCAUAAAAAAGCACUUAAACAUGAUGAAUGGAAUUAAGGGGUGAAAUGA